RNAcentral lists this ribosomal RNA (253 nucleotides) under uncultured bacterium. RNAcentral describes it as "partial 16S ribosomal RNA". It matches the Rfam family "Bacterial small subunit ribosomal RNA", at positions 524 to 776 of the family's 1533-position model. The record is from RNAcentral.
UACGUAGGGGGCGAGCGUUGUUCGGAAUUACUGGGCGUAAAGCGUGCGCAGGCGGUUUUGUAAGUCAGAUGUGAAAUCCCCGAGCUCAACUUGGGAACUGCGUUUGAAACUACAAGACUAGAAUAUGGCAGAGGGGGGUAGAAUUCCACGUGUAGCAGUGAAAUGCGUAGAGAUGUGGAGGAAUAUCAGUGGCGAAGGCAGCACCCUGGGAUAAUAUUGACGCUCAGGCGCGAAAGCGUGGGGAGCAAACAGG